This 237-nucleotide ribosomal RNA is filed under the name uncultured bacterium. Its description in RNAcentral is "partial 16S ribosomal RNA". It matches the Rfam family "Bacterial small subunit ribosomal RNA", at positions 100 to 334 of the family's 1533-position model. The record is from RNAcentral.
CCGGCACGGGUGAGUAACACGUAUCCAACCUGCCGUCUACUCUUGGACAGCCUUCUGAAAGGAAGAUUAAUACAAGAUGGCAUCAUGAGUUCACAUGUUCACAUGAUUAAAGGUAUUCCGGUAGACGAUGGGGAUGCGUUCCAUUAGAUAGUAGGCGGGGUAACGGCCCACCUAGUCUUCGAUGGGUAGGGGUUCUGAGAGGAAGGUCCCCCACAUUGGAACUGAGACACGGUCCAA